RNAcentral lists this ribosomal RNA (253 nucleotides) under uncultured bacterium. RNAcentral's name for it is "partial 16S ribosomal RNA". It matches the Rfam family "Bacterial small subunit ribosomal RNA", at positions 524 to 776 of the family's 1533-position model. The record is from RNAcentral.
UACGAAGGGGGCGAGCGUUGUUCGGAAUCACUGGGCGUAAAGAGUGCGUAGGCGGUUAUGAAAGUUAGGAGUGAAAGCCCCAGGCUCAACUUGGGAAUUGCUUUUAAAACUACAUGACUUGAAAUCGGGAGAGGAUAGCGGAAUUCUCAGUGUAGCAGUGAAAUGCGUAGAUAUUGAGAGGAACACCAGUGGCGUAAGCGGCUAUCUGGACCGACAUUGACGCUGAGGCACGAAAGCGUGGGGAUCAAACAGG